Molecule: ribosomal RNA, 500 nt
Filed under: uncultured bacterium
Lineage: Bacteria
Description: partial 16S ribosomal RNA
Rfam family: Bacterial small subunit ribosomal RNA
Source: RNAcentral
GACGAACGCUGGCGGCGUGCCUAAUACAUGCAAGUCGAACGAACGGAGCUAGGUACUUGUUCCCGGCAAAGUUAGUGGCGCACGUGUGAGUUACACGUUUAGAACCUACCCUUUUGCGGGGUAUAACCAUUGGUAACGAUGUCUUAUACCGCAUAUAAUCGCAGUUCUCUUUUUCAACUUAUGAUAGACUUCUUCUGCUGUCUCUCAAGGAUUGCUCCCCGGUGCAUUAUCUAGAUGGUUGGGUAACGGCCUACCAUGGCAAUGAUGCAUAGCCGACCUGAGAGGGUGAUCGGCCACAUUGGGAGUGAGACACGGCCCAAACUCCUACGGGAGGCAGCAGUAGGGAAUCUUCCGCAAAGGGCGCAAGCCUGACGGAGCAACGCCGCGUGUGUGAAGAAGGUCUUCGGAUCGUAAAGAACUGUUGUUAGAGAAGAACGACAGCUAGAGUAACUGUUAGCGGAGUGACGGUAUCUAACCAGAAAGCCACGGCUAACUACGUG